RNAcentral lists this ribosomal RNA (305 nucleotides) under uncultured bacterium. Its description in RNAcentral is "bacterial SSU rRNA". It matches the Rfam family "Bacterial small subunit ribosomal RNA", at positions 335 to 637 of the family's 1533-position model. The record is from RNAcentral.
UGCCUACGGGACGCAGCAGUGAGGAAUAUUGGUCAAUGGGCGCGAGCCUGAACCAGCCAAGUCGCGUGAGGGAUGACGGCCCUACGGGUUGUAAACCUCUUUUGUCGGGGAGCAAAUUCCGCCACGUGUGGCGGAGUCGAGAGUACCCGAAGAAAAAGCAUCGGCUAACUCCGUGCCGGCAGCCGCGGUAAUACGUAGGGAGCAAGCGUUAUCCGGAUUUAUUGGGUGUAAAGGGUGCGUAGACGGGAAAACAAGUUAGUUGUGAAAUCCCUCGGCUUAACUGAGGAACUGCAACUAAAACUAUU